UACAGAGGGUGCAAGCGUUAAUCGGAAUUACUGGGCGUAAAGAGCACGUAGGUGGUUGUUCAAGUUGGAUGUGAAAGCCCCGGGCUCAACCUGGGAAGGUCAUCCAAAACUGGACGACUAGAGUAUGGUAGAGGGAAGUGGAAUUUCCGGUGUAGCGGUGAAAUGCGUAGAUAUCGGAAGGAACACCAGUGGCGAAGGCGGCCUGCUGGGCAGUGGCUGACACUGAGGCGCGACAGCGUGGGGAGCAAACAGG
This 253-nucleotide ribosomal RNA is filed under the name uncultured bacterium. Its description in RNAcentral is "partial 16S ribosomal RNA". It matches the Rfam family "Bacterial small subunit ribosomal RNA", at positions 524 to 776 of the family's 1533-position model. The record is from RNAcentral.